AUUGCUUCUCGGCCUUUUGGCUAAGAUCAAGUGUACCAUUAACUCUAAUAUAUCUAUUCUGGUCAUAUUCCUAUGUCAGAUACACAAGAUCAGAUAAAUUUUUAAUUUAAAUUUUGGGUGGGUGUCAGCAUUCUGGCUCAGUAGGUUAUACCACUGCCUGUGAUACCAGCACCCCAU
Small nuclear RNA from Oryctolagus cuniculus (rabbit), 177 nucleotides. Its record names the gene U2. It matches the Rfam family "U2 spliceosomal RNA". Rfam says of the family: U2 is a small nuclear RNA (snRNA) component of the spliceosome (involved in pre-mRNA splicing). Complementary binding between U2 snRNA (in an area lying towards the 5' end but 3' to hairpin I) and the branchpoint sequence (BPS) of the intron results the bulging out of an unpaired adenosine, on the BPS, which initiates a nucleophilic attack at the intronic 5' splice site, thus starting the first of two transesterification reactions that mediate splicing. The record is from Ensembl. NCBI's taxonomy places the organism in Eukaryota, Metazoa, Chordata, Mammalia, Lagomorpha, Leporidae.